Long non-coding RNA from Alosa sapidissima (American shad), 193 nucleotides. RefSeq lists it as uncharacterized. Lineage: Eukaryota; Metazoa; Chordata; Actinopteri; Clupeiformes; Clupeidae. The transcript is spliced from 3 exons. The record is from RefSeq and is a predicted model, not a curated record.
UUUUUUAUUGCAUCUAUGCACUUAACGUUUGAACCGUACACCACAUUUUGAACAUUAAGGUAUAUUUGGAAUCCUUGGAUGACACCAAACUCGACGCACCCCAUGACGUAAAUUUCCGCCAUGUUGGAUCUUCCGCCAUUUUGUAUUUCAUCAAAAACACUUAAAAGGCAUCAAAGUUUGUCCGAUUUUGACG